Long non-coding RNA from Cotesia glomerata, 366 nucleotides. RefSeq lists it as uncharacterized. NCBI's taxonomy places the organism in Eukaryota, Metazoa, Arthropoda, Insecta, Hymenoptera, Braconidae. The transcript has 2 exons. The record is from RefSeq and is a predicted model, not a curated record.
AACCACCCCUGAUAAUUAUCUUAUGAAUUUUUUGAACGUUAAUGCAUUCUAUGAACGAAGCUUCUUUAGAGAAACACGGAAACCGGAAAACCAAAGAGACUCUACGUUCGUGUUUAAAAUAAGUAAAUUUCUUUCUGCCGAUGGUUACAAUGAAAUAUAUUCUCGUCGAAUUGUUCUAGAUAUUGGAAUCCUGAAAUACUUUUAUUUCAGUACCAAUCAUCCAAACUUCGUUAAUUACGCUACUCUUGGAGGUCUUAUUGCUCAUUAACUAGGACACGUUGUUGACAAUCGCUACAAAUUUAUUAACAAGUACGAUGUGAGAAAGAACAAUUGGGGUGAAUUGACUAAUCAAAAAUACCAGGAAGU